GCCUGGUCCCACGCCAACCUCACACCAGUUUCUCCGCCACACCCUCAGCAUGCAGGCCUCAGGAAUGCUGGGUAAUGAGGGAUGGCAAAGGGGCAUCUAGGCAUCCGAUUACAACCCAUGUUGGGAAGAAAGAAAAGAUGUGAGGCCGUGGAAGCCUGUUUACAUUUACAUCUGAGGUAUUUAGCUUCUGCUUUCAUCCAGAGGACCAGUGGAAUGAGCUUCAUGCAUUGCAAACAUUGCAAGCAACUUUGAAAGUAGAUGAAAUGUCACAGCAAGAAGGUGAUGCAAGUUAAGAAGUUUGUGAUGAAACAGGGAUUAUUGUUAACAUGUAAGGUGAUAAGCAGUCAUCGCUCACUUCUUAAACAUGUGAUCAUCUGUUAAUCCCUUAGUGUAUUGGCCUUUUAUUUUGAUUUUCUAUCAGUAGUGUGACUUUUUAAAUGCGCAAGGGAUGUAUUUGUCUAUUAACGCUAACGCUAAUAAGUCCUCCAAUCACACAUUGCUAAACAAAAUUUCCACUUUUUUUUUUUUUUUAAAGAAGACGAGGUUUCCAAACACACUCAACUAUUAACUUGGAGACCGUUUCCUCUCACUAGCUCUUUGCUUUUGUUGUAUACUUUUGGAUACAACUUUGUACUAACAUAGAGUUGAACAAUAGUUUUCUCUCUAACCCGCUGAUACCCCAACUUUCACUUUCUAAGCAUAUAUUUACACAGCUGGAGGAAUAAUGUAUCUUCUCUCUCAAUUAAUGUUACUGUCAAAGCCAACACAUCCUGUAUCCAAUCACUAGACCAAAGGUUUCAAAACCAGUUUUGCAUUGGUCAGAUUCAGGUCAGAGUGAAUGAGUUGACCCACACAUGGGCAGUUUAACCUAGUGAUCUGAAACUCAUUACUGUAAUUUACUGUAAUUUUAACACAGGCAGGUGUGGAAAACAAAGACAAUUAAAACUUUGACCUGACAAAUAACAACUGCUUUCAGUACCAGUAUUUGUUGAUAUUUGGUUACAAUUUUAAAGGAGGUAAAAUCUAUGGGAGUCAUCAGCAAUGUGCCACUCCCAUUAACAAAAGCUGCAUGAAAGCUGAAUAGUCUACAAGCUUUGCUGUGUAAUGUUCAAUUAACAGCAACCCUUUUGCUGUAUUAUAUGGAAUAUAAUUAUAAUAUAUACUAUAAUAAUAAUAAUAGUCAAAUAUUGAUAAUGCCACUAAAAUAUUUGGUCCUUGCACUGCUACCUCCUCAUUUAAUCUUCUGCAAGCAAGCAGACAGACUUAUAA
Astatotilapia calliptera (eastern happy) is the source of this 1269-nucleotide long non-coding RNA. The record is from Ensembl. Lineage: Eukaryota; Metazoa; Chordata; Actinopteri; Cichliformes; Cichlidae.